This 497-nucleotide ribosomal RNA is filed under the name uncultured bacterium. Its description in RNAcentral is "partial 16S ribosomal RNA". It matches the Rfam family "Bacterial small subunit ribosomal RNA", at positions 28 to 507 of the family's 1533-position model. The record is from RNAcentral.
GAUGAACGCUGGCGGCGUGCCUAAUACAUGCAAGUCGAGCGAACAGACGAGGAGCUUGCUCCUCUGACGUUAGCGGCGGACGGGUGAGUAACACGUGGAUAACCUACCUAUAAGACUGGGAUAACUUCGGGAAACCGGAGCUAAUACCGGAUAAUAUAUUGAACCGCAUGGUUCAAUAGUUAAAGACGGUUUUGCUGUCACUUAUAGAUGGAUCCGCGCCGCAUUAGCUAGUUGGUAAGGUAACGGCUUACCAAGGCAACGAUGCGUAGCCGACCUGAGAGGGUGAUCGGACACACUGGAACUGAGACACGGUCCAGACUCCUACGGUGGGAAGCAGUAGAGAAUCUUACGCAAUGGGCCAAAGCCUGACGGAGCAACGCCGCGUGAGUGAUGAAGGUCUUCGGAUCGUAAAACUCUGUUAUUAGGGAAGAACAAAUGUGUAAGUAACUAUGCACGUAUUGACGGUACCUAAUCAGAAAGCCACGGCUAACUACGUG